CCCUGUCACAGAGGCUUGAAGGACACAGAUCAAUCAAACUUUCAGAGAAAGCUUUCCAAAAAUUUUAACCAUGAUUUCAGCUAUGUCCCAAUCUUACAAAACAAGAAGCACAAUGCAGUGUGGAGGCAAGGAAUAGGAAAAGUCAAUGGUGGUGGGAUUUGCUGUGUGAGAAGACACACACACACACACACACACACACACACACACACACACACACACACAAAUAAAAGAGGAAGGAAGAUGGGGGCACAGGAGUUGUGGGUGAUGAGGGAAACAGGUUUGAAUUGUGGAUUGCUACUACCAUGGCUGGCCACACACAUUCAUUCUCUGGAGUAAUCAUGAAAUGUAGAGAGAAAAUGCAAAGCAAGGAAGGAUAAACACUUUGGUGGAAAAGGACAUUUAAUAGGAAGAAAUGUCUAUAAAGGGGUUUAAAAAUAACUUUUCCUUCUCGAAAAUCUGCUGUUUCUUUACAGAUCUCAGCUCAGAGCAAGGUUCCCUUUGUCCUGGACUUCUCUGUUUUCUGAACUCAAGAUUAAACACACACACACACACACACACACACACACACACACACACACACACACACACACACACCUUGGAAGCAAUUAAUAAGCAGCUUGUAUAACACCCACAUGAUGAGCACUGUCCAGUAGCAGCUAAAUUCAGUGAAGUAGACGAAUGUAUUAACAAGGAAAACAAAGUUCCAAAAUGUUUAAUGGGAAAAAAAUCCUUCAGGAUGAUGCAAAAUUCCAGAAACAUAUCAUGCAUUGAAAGAUUAAAAUCCAGAGUUAAUAAUUUUCAUGAAAAAUCGUAAAUAGCAAAUGCAUGAUAUAGAGUAUCUUUAGGGAGAUAGUAAGGAGAACACAACUGGGUUGAGGUGUGUGGAAGAGAAGACAUUUCUGUUUGUAGUUUUGUGUUACUGCCUUUCUUCUCUGUUAGAAACAGAAAAUUUCCCAGCAUUCUAAAAGGACUCAUGGCUACCUAAAGAUGUAAUUAUUUUUUCCAGCUUCCCUUGCAGCUAUGCAUGGUCCAGGACUAAAUCCUUGCCAAGGUAAUGCAAUGAAAAUGUUCCAUUUCUUUAGAGGAAACUUGUUUUAGUUCUCUAUCCCUUCUCCCAUGUGCUAGAAUAUGGAUGAACUGCUAGUAGUCCAGCCUCAACUCUCAGCCCACAAAUGUUAUCCAAACGGAAUUUAAGAGUCUAGUUUAUAUUCCCAUGGUUUGUCUCUCUCAUCAAUUCACUCAGCAAGUAAUUACUGAACACAUACUAUGUACGGCAACCUAAGUGAGGUAUUAGGGACAUGGUGGUAAGGAAGCUCCUGAUGGAGCAUGUGUUUGAUCCUAAAAUCUCUGCACUUGAACUUGCUCAUGAGCAGCCUCUGUGUCCCUUCCGUGUGUGUGUGUGUGUGUGUGUGUGUGUGUGUGUGUGUGUGUGUGUUCAUGUGUGUGGGGUGAGUAUGCAUGCAUGUAUGCAGGUGUGUAGGCACACAGCAUGUGGGUAUGAGUGCCUGUAGGUGCACAUAUAUGUGGAGGUUGAUUCUAAAAUCAUCCUCAAUUGCACUUCUACCUUAUUCAAUGAGAAGCAGGAUAGCUCAGACCGACCCAGAGCUCACCAAAGCAGCUGGUUUCACUAGCCUGCUUCCUCCUGGGAUUCCUUGUCUCAGAGUUUUACCUUGUGAGGUUGGAAUUACAGGCAGCUGCCCCACCUAUCUGGUAUUUAUAUGGGCUCUGGGAAUCCCAACUCCAGUCCUCACACUUGGAAGGACUUAACUACCGAGCUUUCCCCAGCCCAGUUUCUAUUUUUAUUCUAAACUUAACUCGUGUUGAAAGAACACUGCCCAGGGGCACUGAUUUCCACUGAUUCAACCCAAUUAAAACAAUUCAGACUGAGUUUUUGAGGAGGACUUUUGGGAGUUUUUUUUUUUUUUUCAAGAGUUUUAAAGUUUGUUCUGAUUCUUUAAGAAGGUAUUUGAUUAUUAAGAAAUACGUAACACACAAAAGUGAGUAAAAGUCGUCUGAAUGGAGAAGAAUAAGAAAAAUGAGCAGUAAAGAGUCUAUGAAAGAGUGAGAAGUGACCGGUUACGAGAGACUUAUCAGGUAGUAUACAUCUCUCAAGUACCACCCCAGCCAUCGAUACUGUUGGGUGCAUGAUUUGAUUUAUGUGGUAGUAACCAAUUAAUUUUUACUGUUAUAUUUUAUUUUAAUCAGGUGAACAUUGUCGUAGGGUUUCUGUUGUGGUGAUAAAUACCAUGACUGGAAGCAACCCUGGGGAAAAGGUGUUGUUUCAGCUUCCAUGUCUUGAUCACACUCUCACUAAGACAAGCCAGUGCAGGAACUCAAGGCAGGUACCUGGAGGCGGGAGCUAAAGCCAUGAAGGAGUGCUGCUUACUGGCUUGCUGCUCAUAGCUUACCCAGUCUAUCUACUUUCUUACACAACUCAGGAUGACCAGCCUAGGAAUGACACCACCCGCAGUAGGCUGGACCAUUCCACAUCAAUCAUCCAUCAAGAAAACAUGUCACAGACUUGCCUACAGGCCACUAUUACAGAGGGAGGCAUUUUCUUAACUGAGGUUUGCUCUUUCUCACAUAACUGGCUUGUGCCGAGUUGACAUAAAACUAGCUGGCAAAAAUAUAUUGCAGUUUGUUUAUUUCUCUGCAGAGGGUCAGUGAGGUCAUUUUCUGUUGACGGCUGUGAAGAGCAAUCUUGUGAAAGAUCAUUUCCCUUGCAGGUUAGAGUUUCUCCCAGGUAUUUAGGAAGUGCUUAGGAAUAGAGUCCUAGGGGUGUGGGGCCUGUCUGCCCAAUCCUGCUUCCUAACAAACGUCAAGCUAACUCUGGCCAGGUGGUUGGAUGUCUUUAGAUUGUCACCAGCAGUGUGUAAGAGUCAACACUUUGACUUUGCUGAAAUUGUAAUGUUUCCAUUUAAAUGUUCAUGGACUACUUUCUUAUUGUGGUUCUAAUUUAUGGUUUUGUAUCCCCCCUUUUCUUUUUUUCUGAUCACCUUAAGGUUAGGCAGCUUUGCACAUAAACUGGGUCAUUUGUGGUACCUUAUCUAUGAGAUGCCCGUGUUUUCCCUUUUCAAAGUCGUGUGUGGGGGAGCAUGUGUGUGUGAAGUGCGAUUUUUGUGUCCACUUUCCCUUUUCAAUUCUGGGAUUUUGUCUGGUUUGAACCUGUGUUUGGGUCUUGUGUGUGCUGUCAGUCUCCAUGAGGGGAUAGGUACAUCAGGCCUAUUGUGUCUGGAAGCCAAAGUCAGUUUUUAUUUUAAUAUGAUGACAUGUCUUUAUAUUAUGGGGUUUAUUGUUAGGGAAAAUCUCUGUACUUUGAGGUUUAAAAGCAUUCUAUAUCUUAUCCUACAGUUUCCAUGAUUUGACCUUUCGAAUUUGUCUUACAUCUAAAAGCAGUAACUGAUUUUUAUAUACAAUAAGGGUUAAUCAUUAAACCUAUUUAUUGUCUUGUAGAUAACCAAUUAUGUUCUUCAGAACAGUAGGGCAGGGAGCAGGGAGAACAAGGCUGAACUGUCAUGACCCCUCCUACUGAUCUCUAAUUCCUGCUUCAGAUUUUUUGAAUGAGAUUAUUUUAGAGUUCAAAUUUGUUCAUUACUCAUCUUAUAUAAUGCCAAUAAUACACUGUCCCUUUAUAGGGAAGUGCUUAGGAAUAGAGCAGGCCCAUCUCUCCAAUUUUAUCCUCCAAAGGUCAUGACAUGCAUCCUAUAGGCUCAGGCCAGCACCUACUUCACACUUGCCACAGGUCUGGGCCUGGUGUCUUCCCAGCAAGUGAGCUGUGUUCUCAGCCCUGAGCUUCUUCAGCCAAAACAGGCAAAGCAUCAGCUCUUUCUCUACCUGUUUUUCUACUCAGGGCACUGGUUAGGGAUCGUCAAUCUGACACAAUGCUCAGGGUGCUGGUUAGGGAUUGUCAACCUGACACAAUGCUCAGGGCACUGGUUAGGGGUUGUCAACCUGAUACAAUACUAAGCUGCUGGUUAGGGGUUGUCAACUGACACAAUGCUCAGGGUGCUGGUUAGGGAUGGUCAACCUGACACAAUGCUCAGGUUCUGGUUAGGGGCUGUCAACCUGACACAAUGCUCAGGGUGCUGGUUAGGGGCUGUUCAACCUGACACAGGCUAAAGUCACAUGGGAAGAGAGGCCCUCAAUUGAGCCACUGCCCAGAUGGUAAGUCUUUGAGAAAUUGUAUUGGUUGAUAACUGAUGUGGGAGGGGCCCUGGCCACUGUGGGAAGCACCAGUCUUACAUAGGUAGUCUGGGCUAUAGAAGGAAGCUAGCUGAGCAUGGGCCAGAGAGUAAGCCAUCCAGUGGUGCUCCUCCAUGGUUUCUGUCUUCUGGGUCCUUGAGUCCUGCCUUGAUGUCCCUCAGUGACAGACAGUGACCUGGAAGUGUAAGGAGGAAAGAUCUUGCUUCUUGGUAUUUAUGCCGAAGUACAUAAAGAAUGCUGGGGAGCCCUCGUUCUCAAAAACUAAGCAGGCUUUUAGCUGUUGGGAUCCCAUAAAACUCAAAAGGACAAAUAUGACCUACACUUGUUUUGCUGAAGCCAAUUUUCACAACCUGGUAUUUAAGUUGAGCUCAGGGACAUUUGAGUAAUCCCACAGGCUCUCUGGGCUCUGGUAUUCAUCUGCAUCUUAGUUUUCUGCUUGGGGAUUUUGGAUCACAACUGCCAACCUGGGAAAACCACAUCACUUACACGAGAUUAAGCAGUCCCUAAUUAGUUUUCCUGACCCUCUUGUAUACCAAUAAAUGGCCCAUUUACAGGACAUUAAAACAGAAUUCUUUCCAUUAAAAAUGACUUCCUUGCUAGUGAACAAGACCUAGGUUUAACACACAUGUUAGUUAACAUGAGGUUGUCCUAAUGUACAGUGGACACUUUCCAGUGGGAAGUGAUUGGAGGACUAAUUAGGAUUCUUGGCUCGGUCAAUUAACUGGGAGGGGAGUCUCUCUACGGUGAUGUAAAUAUUGCUUAUAUUCUUAGUUUGUUUUGGGCCUAUUACGUUUUGAACCAAAGAGCUAGAGACUGAAGUGAAAUCCUAUUACAAGCUUUGGAAAAUGAUGAGCCUAAAAAGGCAUUUUAUAUGACAUCAUCAGGUCAGUUUUAAAGUUUUAUUUAGAUAUGCAAAUGCAGUAGCCACUUCUUUUGGAUUCUGACGCACACCUCAUCCUAUCGAAAGCACUGUGAGUCCCUUGGUGUGCAUAGUAGGCAUCUCAUGAUUAGUCUAGGGAACUGCACUAUUUUGAGGGGUGAUUGCUGUUUAUAGCACUAAGUCUGUUUUGCCUAAGAAAGCCAAUUACAGAACAGUGAGAACAUAUGUAGAGAAGAAAGAGCUUAGCUAGGAGGGCGAAUCUCCACUUCCCCUUCCUAAGGGUGUUUGUGGGGUAAAGAAAAAGGGUGGUAUGGGCAUUGAGAAAGGUAUUUACAAGUGAGAGAAAGCAAGAUUUGAUGUCAGCCGGGGGAGGGGGGUGGUAUCUGUGGCACCUUUCUAUACCCGUGCUUUGAAAUGCCCCAGCUAAGCACAUUUUAUAGAUGACUGUUUGCUCUUCAGCAUCCAAACACUGUCACUGGACAUUUGCACAGGCCUGGGUGGUGGAUUUUUGGUUUCAAAUCAGGUUGGAACUCCCUUUGAGUUCCUGAAAGCAAUUAAGCAGCCGUGAUGAUUUCGACCCAGACACUUGGGAGUCAUUUCCAGGUGGGUGAGUGGCCUUGUUUUGUGGCUGCCAUUCCUAGCCAGAUUUCCACACCAGCAGGUCAUAAGUCAAUAUGAGUUACAGUAAAGGAUGGGGGAGGUGACUCUGAAGACUCUCGGGAACCCGGGUUCCUGACCAGGAAAAGAAGGAUGCCCCGAAGGAAGGGGAUUCCUUGUCUUUGGUGUGCUGUGGGAACUUAAAUAGGCACCCGUAGCCAUGACUUUGACCUGAGGUGUCCCAAGAAAGCAAAACACCAGUUUGGUUUCUACAUAGGGAAACUAGAAUAGGUGAGUGAAGAAAGAGAUACAAAUUUCAAUAUGACCAUAGGACCAAUUCAAGCAGUUGGCUCUCUGCAAUAUUUUGAACACGAAAUACCCUCAAAGUCAUACACACACAGGCAUGUGUUGCUGUUUGAUUCCAGCUGGUGGCACUAUUUAUGAUGGUGAUGGAAAUGAUAGGCUACAGGGCCAACCUGGCUGAGACAGGCCACUGGAGCAGUGUCCACAGACCCUUGCUUGACCUCGCCUGGCUGCUCUAAGUUGGGAGAACCGCUAUCACUAUCUGUUCUCUUGCCAUGGUGUUCUGCCCAAGCGUCUAGGACCAGGUGAGCUGGAUCUGAACCCUGUGAAACUGUGAGCUGAAAUGUGUCUUUCCUCUCUUAGAUCAUCCCCUUUGGGUGUCCAGGUCACAGCAAGUGAUAACUCCUUUCUGUGUUCCAGAAAAAGAAACAGGUAGGAUCUUGUGAGACUGGACAAGUAGCUCUCCUGUGGAGAAGAUUUGAAGGUAUCUUAAUAAUAUAAGAGAGCUUUCUAAUGUUGGUGGGCUAGAACAUAGCUGCACAGCACUGGGUACACUUUGUAAGACUCAGAAACUCUGUUCUGGUGACCUAUAAAUAAAGUACUCUAGAGGUGGGAUCAGAAAUUCAAGGUUAUUUUCAGUCACACAAUGAGUUUGAGGCCAGCUUGGGAUCACAAGGCAUGUUCUAAGGAAAAACAAAACAGCACAAAGGAGAAAGGAAGAAGGAAAGAAAGAUUGAAGAUGGCUCUAUCUUCUACAAAGAGAUACUUUACAGACAACAUCUAUAGAAACUCAGUCAAUCCUUUACCUGUUUUCUCCAUCUGUAGCCAAACCAAGAACCUCUUCCCUGCAAUAGAUCAGUGGUACUCUGGUGUAGUCUAGUCAAGAUCCAGACGACCCCGAGCUCUGAGUUAUUAUUGUCCUUCCGUGAUUGCUCUGCUGGCAGGGGUGUGUUCACUGGAAAGUGAUCUUUCCAGUCAUGCAUGGCACAUGCAUUCUGUGCUCCCUUGAGUAGCAGCAUCACAGCCCUGAUUGUGGUUUGGUGUGUGGUCCAUGAAUCACACUUUGUGCUUGGACAACAGAAGCACAACCCCCUUCUGGAGCCCAGCAGAGAGAACCAGCUGUUCAAACUCUGGCCCUGUCAAGGGGCAGAAACUGCUCCAGGUUCACUCCUGGUGAAUGUUGCUUUGUUUCCAGAGUAAACUCAGCCCACCACUGUGUAUUUCCAAACAGUAGUAGAAGAAGGGCUCCAUCUCCUCCAUCUUCCCAGACCUACAGGAGCUCAGUUUCAAUAUUCAGCUUCAUGCUCAACUGGCACAGAUUGGCAAGCCAUGCCUGAAAGUCACCAUCAUCUUUGGGUUUUGCCAUAGUUAUUAUGUAUUUUUCCUCCAAGUUGUGUGCAUGCCCUUCAGGUUGCUUUCCUUCCAGCAGUCUAUAGAGAGGCUGCAGAUAAGGUUUCUGUGUGCCUCCCCACUCAUCACAACAUUUUCCAUCCGUCCUGAUUCAGUUCUAAGCCUCUCUUGAUUAAAGGAUCUUUGUUGUACUCUUAAGUUUUUUGAUUAAAAUGGAAUUAAAUUGUAAAUCAAUUCCACUAUUUUCCCCAAUGUCUUUCAUCUCUCCAGCUCUUUCCAUAUGAACAUCCCAUCACAUGCUGCCUAAUUCAUGGCCUAUCUAUCUAUCUAUCUAUCUAUCUAUCUAUCUAUCUAUCAUCUCCUGCUCAACCACAAGGACAUGUUUAAAGAAAGCAACAGCAAUAACCAACCAACCCUCUGACCACUGAGUAGACUUGAAGUUAUAGGAUGUUGCUAUGAUGAUGGUUACUCUGAUAGACAGGAUUAUAUAUUAGCCUAUGCCUGCUUGAGUUGUUCUGUACCAACCCAAUUCUCACCUUCUGUCUUUCUUUCUGGACAGAGAAACCCCCAAAAUAUCCCAGCUGGUCACAAGCCUCUACCAUAGACAGUCUCUUGGUCGAAUGAUGCUUCCAAUUGGAUUAGUCUCAUCAGGAGCAAGGAUGUGUGUCCUGGGACCCAAGUUUCAAAGCAUCUACAUGGUGAGAACCAAUGCUAUGUGGGGGACUUUGGUUUUCAAGCUGUUCGGGAAAGGAGUUGCUGCUGAAAAGGAGAUUCUCAUCUCAUUCAGUCACAUGAAGUCUGUUCUGGAAGUCAGGCUUAUAUCUCUUUACAGAAUAAUGCAGUAGACAAGAUGAAUGCUCUAUUGGUGUAAAGCAGGCCCCUGAACAUGGGAGUACACAGGUUGGAGAAUGUGACAUUUCAAUGUUCUUCUGAUGUUCCUGUGUGGCAGAAGAGCGCCAUUGUUUCUCUCUGUGUUAAAGAUGUCCUUAUCCAUUCAUUCAGUCUGCUACAACAAAACCCUGGAGGCAGGAGCCUUCUAACCUAUGGACUCUCAUUUCUUACAGCCCCUGUAGGCAGAAGGUUAAUGAAAUCCCACAAGGAUGCACCAUAAAUAUACACAGUAAAUAUCAUUUUAUACACCCCAGUAUAGGCCAUAUACUUAUUUUCUGGAGAGCAGUGAAAGGUAAGUACAAAAGGCUCCAGACAAACACGAAUUCUGAGCUCAUGUGAGGUUGAAGCCAAAUCACUCGGGUCAAAGGGACAGUCUACAGAGGAAGGUAGAAGAACAAGUCUAACUGGGCCAAUGCUGACUCACAGAGGGUCCUGUGGGUUCAUGCAGCCAAGCUGGGGUCACCUGUCGAGUCUCCUGAAAGUAUAUCUGAGAUGGAUAGAUAGGCUAUAAUGUUGGCAGAGGCCCAUUGUUGGUUCUGUGACCUGUGGUGUAGAAUCUAUUAGGAUAGGAAGGACGCUUCGGGAAUUUGUGUAUCUGCCCCCAUCGUUUAGCUAAUAGAGUGAGUCAGCAGGAAUGUUCUAUCCCCAAACGAAUCACAGAGACUGGCACUUGUAUUAGCUACUUUUUCUUGUUGAUGUUUCAAGAUCCCUGACUGAAGCAAUUCAGGAACGAUCCAUUGAGGUAAAAGGGAUACAGUUUGUUAUGGUGGGGGAAGAAUACAGCUGGAGAAUGGGGUAGUUAUUCCUAUUGUUUCUACAGUCACUAAGCAGAGAGAGGUGAAUUCUUGCUUUCUCCUUCUUCCCUUUUUAUUCACUUCAGGAUGCCAGCCCAUUGGAUGAUACCACUAUGCACAGGGUGGGUCUUCCCGCCAAAGUAAAUCUCUGUAGAAAUGACAACCAGACAACUCAAAGAUGUCUCUGCUAGGUUAUUUUAAAUGCAGUUGGCUGACAAUGAAGGUAUGCAUUACACUAAACUUAAGGGCGUGAAGGCAGUCUCCUCGUGUCUCCACUCUCCCCCUGUUCUGCUUGCCCCUUCACCCUCUGCAGAUAGAGGACACAAGAGGAUCACUGCACAUUUAAUAUCCCCGUGCCUGUGUACAUGACAUAUACAGACGGUCUCCAAGCCAGAAGCCACUGGGUUUGUACACUGCACCAGAGACUGGAGACAGUGAGAAUAAUACUAGGAAAAUGAGGAAAGAUCAUCUGGGGUAGAUGUUCGAGAGGGGCACAGGUGACCAAGUGUUUGUUUCACACGUGGGAGGCCACCAGAAACCAUCUGCUUCUGCAGAAGCCACAAGAACCCAGGUGGGUGUGUGGCUUUGUUUUAUCUUUGUUUUUGCUUUUUGGGUUUUUUGAGACAGGGUUUCUCUGUGGCUUUGGAGGCUAUCCUGGAAAUAGCUCUUAUAGACCAGGCUGGUCUCGAGCUCACAGAGAUCUGCCUGCCUCUGCCUCCCGAGUGCUGGGAUUAAAGGUGUGCGCCACCACCACCCAGCAAAAAACUGUUAGUGCUCUCAUUUCUAGCUGGAUUUCCACACCAGAAGGUCAUCAGGGAAGAUGUGUUACAGUAAAGACUGGGGGAGGUGACUCUGCAGACUCUCAGGAACCUGGGUUCCUGACCAAGAAAAGAAGGAUGUCUCGAAGGAAGGGGAUUCCUUGUCUUCACUUGGGCCUUUGGUGUACUGUGGGAAUUUAAGCUGGCUAUUGUAGGCACCAUCUUGGCAAGUGACUGGAGACCUUCCCAAGGGCACGAUAGACCUCUUGAGGGCAGAAACACCAUCAGUCAGAUUUCUGCAUAGGGCAAUUAAAAUGGGUAAGUGAGGAAAGGGAUUUGUAUUUCAAUAUAUCCAAAGGACAUGUUAAAGAAGUUGGACCUCUGAAACAUUUUGAACAUCAAAUAGUCCCACAGGCAUACACACAGUCGCGUGUUGCUGUUUCGUCCAGGCUGGUGGCAGCAUUUUUGGUAGUAAUGGAUACUUUGGGAGGUGGGGCCGAGACAGGCCACUGGAGUGGGGGCCACAGACCAAUGUUUGCUCUGCCCUCAUUCCUGUCUGCUGUAAGGCUGCUGGGAAGCUCAAUCUCUACCUACUUCUAUUGAUGCAGUGUCUGUCCAAGCUUCUACACCAGGUGAGCAGGAUUUGAACCCUGUGAAACUGUCACCUAAAACAUCUUUCCACUCCUAGACAAUCCUCCCAGGUGUCUGGUUCGUAGCUAUAAACCCCUUUCUAAGUUGCAGAAGAAGAAACAGGCAGGAUCUCGAGAGACUGGACAAGCAGCUCUCCUCUGGAGAAGAUAUGAGGAUAUCUUAAUCAUAUAACUGUAACGAUAAGUCUUUACUCCAUCCGCCCAAGCCCCGCCACCACGUGGGCGCCCAGAAUAACACACAGAGUCUUAUACUAGUUUACAACGCUGCUGGCCAAUUGACUAGGAUUUCUUACUUGCUAGCUCAGUCUUAAGUUUCAACCAUAAAAACUCAUCUUAUCGGACACCAGCUGCAGGUGUCUUCUCUUGCAGGGAUCACAUGGUGGCUCCAUAGAGAAGAGAGCAGGAGGAAGAGGAAGAGCAAGAGAGAGCUAUUUCCUGUUUAUAUUCUGAGUCUGACUGCUAUGUCACUUCCUGCUUGGAUCUUUACUACAUUUCCCAGAAUCCUCCUUGACACCUAGUCCCACCUAUCUUGCUUUCCUAUUGGCCAACAGUACUUUAUCAACCAAUGAGAGAAUCAUAUACACAGAAGGACCUCCCCCAUCAUGUAACAGAGCCUUUUAUUGUUGGUGGGCUUGAAUAUAACUGAGUAGCACUGAGUAUGCUUUAUUAGACACAGUUCAUGUGCCAUCCCACACCAGCUUGUCUCUCUGGCCUCUACAUAGGAUGCUCACCCAUUUUUCUCAUUUUACAUCUCUGUUGGACCUAGCAAGUGCCUCCUGCAUGCUGGCCUCUGGUCUUAGCACGUCACCCAUCUCCUCACACUUCCAGGUGUUUUUAAUAUUUCCCAGAGGUAUAGUUCUGGGCAUCAGAAUUCCAUAAAACCACAGAAGCUCAGUGCUGAUGGCAAGUAUGAGUGGGGAGUUAAUGCCAUCUUCUCCAUUGGCUACUGAGUGGGGACAGGAAGCCAGGAGGGACAUGUGGGCUUCACUCUACUAAUGAGAGACAAUGGGCACUUUGUCCAGAUAUGCAUCUUCUGUCUUUUUGCCAGCAGAACAUCCACUCUGUCUUGAUAGGAGCCAUUGCCUGGGCUUCCUUGCAAAGCUGGUGUCAGCUCAGUAACAGAUGCUCUUAGGCUUCAUUUCUCCCCUCCCUGCCUCAGUUUUAUUCCCACUCUUUUCUGGGUAAGGUGUUAGAACUUACACGUUACAUUAAACUCUGAGUUCUCAGAACACCUUGGCUAAGGUGCCAUGACUGAGUCAUGUUGAAGGUUGACUAUGGGUUGAAGGUUAAAGGUAGACAGUAAAAAGUGAUUGGUGGGUAUAUGAUAUUCUCUGGGAGGAGAUUUUCACAUUUGAUUUUGAGGAGGAUGAAGAGGAUCAGAAUUGGAGAGCUAAGUGAGGGUGAGGCAGGCAAUCGAGAGGACACCCACACACCUUCUGAGAUGGUGGCUAGAGGAGAUUUGAAGGACCAACAUGUGCAGCAGAGGUAAGGGUGUAGACACUGAGCACUUCCUAAUUUAGGUACUCUGGCCAUCCAGGCUCUGCCAUGUGAAAUGAGGUAGAAAGUUGCCUUUGCAGCUAAAGGUGGUGGUGUUAGUAAAUGAAAGGCUUGGGCCAGCUUGCUGCUGUGUAAAUUUUUUAUACACAGAUUUUUUACAGUCACAUUUCUGG
RNAcentral lists this long non-coding RNA (12096 nucleotides) under Cricetulus griseus (Chinese hamster). Its description in RNAcentral is "lncRNA (ENSCGRG00015032869.1)". Lineage: Eukaryota; Metazoa; Chordata; Mammalia; Rodentia; Cricetidae. The record is from RNAcentral.